This 277-nucleotide unclassified non-coding RNA is filed under the name uncultured fungus. RNAcentral describes it as "partial contains small subunit ribosomal RNA, internal transcribed spacer 1, and 5.8S ribosomal RNA". The stretch from base 1 to 73 matches the Rfam family "Eukaryotic small subunit ribosomal RNA", at positions 1759 to 1831 of the family's 1831-position model. Lineage: Eukaryota; Fungi. The record is from RNAcentral.
UCAAACUUGGUCAUUUAGAGGAAGUAAAAGUCGUAACAAGGUUUCCGUAGGUGAACCUGCGGAAGGAUCAUUAAAAAAUAGCAUUAGCUAUAUCCACCUUGUGUGCAAACAAUGAAAAGAGAAAAUGGAAUCGAGAGCACUUUUUCUUCAGGAAUAGUGUUACCAAAUUCUCUAUAUAUUUUAUAAAUACCAUCAAAAAUUAAUUUUUUUAAAUACAAAUAAUUAUACAACUUUCAACAACGGAUCUCUUGGCUCUCGCAUCGAUGAAGAACGCAGC